GCUUUUAUUUUCUUGCUGCAAUUAAGAAGCGAGGAAUCGAAUGGCGAGGGUUUUGGCCCUUUCUUCCUCCGCGUCGUCGCUCCUAUCUCGACCGGAACCCGCCAAAACCCACCACCACCAACUCCUCCUCCACGGCGAUUUCGGCGGCCGCCGCCGUCACCACCGCCGCCCUAAUUCGCCGCCGUCUCCGCCCGUCAAGAAGACGAAACCCUUCGGAUUGACCCAGAUACCUCUCCUCUCCGCACCCAGAUUCGGGGUUCGUGCCCAAACGCAAGGGGACUACGCCCCAGCUCCUUCCGGCGAUGCAGCGGAUUCGGAUGGCGCCGAGGAGGCCUUCACCUGGACUUCCGUCAUUCUCCCGUUUUUGUUUCCGGCAUUGGGGGGCCUCCUGUUUGGUUACGACAUUGGAGCUACCUCUGGAGCUUCCAUCUCUCUGCAAUCUGCAGAGCUUAGUGGGACUACCUGGUUCAAUCUCUCAGCUGUACAGCUCGGGCUUGUGGUCAGCGGCUCCCUCUAUGGGGCUCUUGCUGGCUCCAUUAUCGCAUACCCGAUUGCAGAUAUUCUUGGAAGAAGAAGAGAACUGAUCACAGCAGCUGCGCUGUAUGUGGUUGGUGGCUUGAUCACUGGAUAUGCACCUGACCUUCUUGUUCUUAUUAUAGGUCGACUUCUUUAUGGCAUUGGUAUAGGUCUGGCUAUGCACGGUGGCCCUCUCUAUAUUGCUGAAACCUGUCCUUCACAGAUACGUGGAACAUUGAUCUCUCUAAAGGAGCUCUUCAUUGUUCUUGGGAUAUUGUUGGGUUACCUUGUGGGGAGUGUUGAGAUUAGUGCUGUUGGAGGAUGGCGUUACAUGUAUGGUUUUAGUGCCCCAAUUGCAGUUUUAAUGGGGAUAGGCAUGUGGUCUUUGCCACCAUCUCCAAGGUGGCUACUUCUCAGGGCAGUUCAAGGUAAAGGAUCCUUGGAGGAAUAUAGAGAGAAGGCUAUCCAUGCCUUAGGAAAACUAAGGGGUCGUCCAGCUGGUGAUGAGGUAUCUGAGGGACAAAUAGAUGACACUCUGAUCUCCCUGAAGGCUGCUAUUGCUGAACAAGAACAAGAAGCCAGUUUCUGGGAGAUGUUCGAAGGAGCAAGUUUGAAGGCCUUCAUAAUUGGGGGAGGAUUGGUCCUUUUUCAACAGAUUACAGGGCAACCAAGUGUUUUAUACUAUGCGGCUUCCAUUCUUCAGAGUGCUGGAUUUUCAGCUGCUUCUGAUGCUGCUAGGGUUUCAGUUGUGAUUGGGAUCUUUAAGCUGCUGAUGACUGGGAUAGCUGUUUUAAAAGUUGAUAACCUUGGGAGGCGUCCUUUAUUGAUAGGAGGUGUUAGCGGAAUCGUGCUUUCGUUGUUCCUCCUUGCUGCUUACUACAAAUUUCUUGGAGGCUUCCCUCUGGUUGCUGUAGGUGCUUUACUUCUCUAUGUUGGUUCUUACCAGGUAUCUUUUGGUCCAAUUAGUUGGCUGGUGGUCUCAGAGAUCUUCCCUCUUCGUACAAGAGGACGUGGAAUCAGUCUUGCAGUUCUUACCAACUUUGGCUCUAAUGCAUUUGUAACGUUUGCCUUUUCACCAUUGAAGGUAUUGAUACGAGGAAAAUUCUUUUCAUAAGGGCCAGGAUAGCCAGCUUAUAACAUAUAAACCAGUAGCCAGGAACUUCUCGGACCCGAUAAUCUUUUUCUCAUAUUUGGAGCUGUUGCAUUGCUGUCACUUUUAUUUGUACUCUUUUAUGUUCCAGAGACAAAAGGCUUGAGUUUGGAGGAAAUUGAAGCCAAAAUAUUGAAAUAAAGGCCUGCAUCUUGCCUUUUUCAUUUCACAGAUAUGGUUCCUCCCUUCUGUUAAGUGGAGAUGAAGGCUGUCAAUUGGGAACUGGUGCUGCGGGGAAAUAUGUGCAAGAUAGUAGUGGGAGUGGCUGAACAAGAUCAGAGUUGGUGGGAGAAUCGGAAGAUGAACAAAUUGACGAUACAAAUGCUUCUAUGAACUUGUAUAAUAAUUUAUCGACUUUUAAGGAGUAUAUUGAGUCAGAAAUUACACGUAUUUGCCCUCAAAUUUUUUAUAAUUAAGAAGUAUGUUUUUAUACGCC
Molecule: RNA transcript, 2102 nt
Organism: Phoenix dactylifera (date palm)
Lineage: Eukaryota; Viridiplantae; Streptophyta; Magnoliopsida; Arecales; Arecaceae
Gene name: Major facilitator superfamily protein
Source: RefSeq, a predicted model, not a curated record